This 209-nucleotide ribosomal RNA is filed under the name uncultured bacterium. RNAcentral describes it as "partial 16S ribosomal RNA". It matches the Rfam family "Bacterial small subunit ribosomal RNA", at positions 568 to 776 of the family's 1533-position model. The record is from RNAcentral.
CGCGUAGGCGGGCCAUCAAGUCCGGGGUGAAAUCCUCCGGCUUAACCGGAGAAUUGCCUUGGAUACUGGUGGUCUUGAGGGAAGUAGGGGUCUGCGGAACUUCCGGUGGAGCGGUGAAAUGUGUUGAUAUCGGAAGGAACGCCGGUGGCGAAAGCGGCGGACUGGGCUUCUUCUGACGCUGAGGCGCGAAAGCUAGGGGAGCAAAACGG